UAAUUUACCUGCAGGCAGACGACCCGUGAACAUGUAACCACAACGGGGUGACCGUGAUAAGGGCCUCGGUCCUUAUCCCCUAACCCUUCCCGACGUGAGUUCGUGGUGUCUUUUUUGGGGCAUCAUGGAUUCCGUUGGACCAUAACAAAACCCCGGCACGGUAUGUGCCAAGGAAAACAAAAAUGAGAAGGACACUACCUGUUUCGCCCCGUUUGCGGUGUGCGUACAGGUCGUGGCCUCCUUGGAAUCACAAACGACUCUCGGCAACGGAUAUCUCGGCUCACGCAUCGAUGAAGAACGUAGCAAAAUGCGAUACUUGGUGUGAAUUGCAGAAUCCCGUGAACCAUCGAGUUUUUGAACGCAAGUUGCGCCCGAAGCCAUCCGGCUGAGGGCACGCCUGCCUGGGCGUCACGCAUCGCGUCGCUCCCCACCAUACCUCCCCAACGGGUUGGCAUGGUGUUGGGGGCGGAUAAUGGCCUCCCGUGCUUGUGUUUCGGUUGGCCUAAAUAAGAGUUCCCUUCGGCGGACACACGACUAGUGGUGGUUGAAUAGACCCUCGUCUUUUGUUGCGUGUCGUGAGCUGUAAGGGUAGCCCUCAUCAAAGACCCCAUUGUAUCGUCUUCGGAUGAUGCUUCGACCGCGACCCCAGGUCAGGCGGGACUACCCGCUGAGUUUAAGCAUAUCAAAA
Molecule: ribosomal RNA, 688 nt
Filed under: Lactuca sativa (garden lettuce)
Lineage: Eukaryota; Viridiplantae; Streptophyta; Magnoliopsida; Asterales; Asteraceae
Description: eukaryotic LSU rRNA
Rfam family: 5.8S ribosomal RNA (bases 256-411)
Source: RNAcentral